Molecule: long non-coding RNA, 256 nt
Filed under: Carica papaya (papaya)
Lineage: Eukaryota; Viridiplantae; Streptophyta; Magnoliopsida; Brassicales; Caricaceae
Description: long non-coding RNA (CPAP_LNC002904)
Source: RNAcentral
UGUGAAUAGUUUGCCGCUGGAAAUGAUCAGCACUCAGGAGCAGAUUGGUUGCCCCUGAUUUGACACCACUCACCGUUCCAAAUUAUGGCCAGGACCCAGCCGCAUGGUGAGCUGCUGUGAUGACCAGCUAGGUGUCAUGAAAACUGGCCAUCUUUUUUAGUUGUGGUCGACCAUCCAACAUAUCAACGGCUGUGAUGCCGUACAUGCGUUUGGACGGUCAGAUGAUGGGUUAAAUUUAGUUAAAAACUUCAUUCUC